Non-coding RNA from Bos taurus (domestic cattle), 71 nucleotides. Lineage: Eukaryota; Metazoa; Chordata; Mammalia; Artiodactyla; Bovidae. The record is from Rfam.
CCCUUGUGGUUCAAAUGGUAAAGAAUCCACCUGCAAUGUGGAAAACCUGGGUUCGAUCCCUGGAGAAAGGA